Molecule: ribosomal RNA, 431 nt
Filed under: uncultured bacterium
Lineage: Bacteria
Description: bacterial SSU rRNA
Rfam family: Bacterial small subunit ribosomal RNA
Source: RNAcentral
GGGAUCACACAAGCGGUGGAGCAUGUUGUUUAAUUCGAAGCAACGCGAAGAACCUUACCAGGCCUUGACAUGUACGGAUUAGCUCCCUGAAAGGGGAGUGACAGCUCUUCGGAGUCGGAACGUACACAGGUGUUGCAUGGCUGUCGUCAGCUCGUGCCGUGAGGUGUUGGGUUAAGUCCCGUAACGAGCGAAACCCUUAUCGUUAGUUGCCAGCGGGUAAUGCCGGGGACUCUAGCGAGACUGCCGUUGUCAAAACGGAGGAAGGUGGGGACGACGUCAAGUCAUCAUGGCCCUUAUGGCCUGGGCUACAAACGUGCUACAAUGGUCCGUACAAUGGGUACCCAAGUCGCGAGACGGAGGCAAUCCCAUCAAAGCGGGCCCCAGUUCGGAUUGCAGGCUGCAAUUCGCCUGCAUGAAGCCGGAAUCGCUAG